Diachasmimorpha longicaudata is the source of this 4079-nucleotide RNA transcript. It is a transcript of the gene named pre-mRNA-splicing factor ATP-dependent RNA helicase PRP16, with no coding region annotated. The transcript has 5 exons. NCBI's taxonomy places the organism in Eukaryota, Metazoa, Arthropoda, Insecta, Hymenoptera, Braconidae. The record is from RefSeq and is a predicted model, not a curated record.
UGACCCUUGAAUAUAACCUAAAAAUCAGUGACAAAGUCUAAACAAAACGUUUGUCUCUUCCUAACCUGUCCACCUCUUCCAAACAUAAACAAACCAUAAAGAAACUUGUGAAAGUGCUUUAUCUUCUCUGAACACAUCAAAAUAAAAAUGUCGGACCCCCCAGACCUGUACCGUCUUGCCGGAAGUGACGGAUCUCAACCUGGGGGUCUGAUUCUAGUGAAAAAGCCCUCGGAUCACACAUUCAAGAAGCCCCUGCCCUCAGUCUUCGGUCUGGACAAAUUAGCCGAGAAGAAACGGCGGGAGAGCUCUCAGGAUCCCUCCAGCUCCUCCAGCAGCUCCAAGUCUUCCCGUCAGGAUCACAAAGACCGUCGUUACCGCAACCCCACAGAGGAAACACCGACGUACACAGGUGGUGUAAACAGACAAGCGCAGCGUCGCCUGGAGGAUCGACUUCGCCACCAGCGUCUUGACGUCCAAGAUCGUCGUGAUCGUCGUCGAGACGAUCGGGAGAGAAGCCGCAGUCGUGACAGAAGAUCCGAACGAUCAGACAGCUCUCGAUCGACCCCCAGAUUCAAGGACGAGCCCAGAACACCUCAGUUCCGUACACGCGACCCCACGUCCAAGAGCAACUGGGACGAUGACGACGACGAGGAGCCGAGAAAAUCGAGCUGGGACCACCCGACGCCGAAGAUCUAUCAUCGCGAUCACCGGGACUCCAUCAGGAGCGAAUUCACUCCGUCGUACAAGUACAACUCCUGGAACAAGGACAGAAAACCAUCUGGGGGAACCCCAAUGGUCAGCGAGGACAGGGACCAGUGGGAGGAGGAGCAGCAGAGGCUCGAUCGCGAGUGGUACGGGCUCGACGAUGGUGAGGCGCAUCACUUCGACGUCUCCGAGGAGUACACCCAGAAGAAGGAGCAGGAACUGGAGGCGAAACGCCAGAAACGUGUGUCCGCCCAGCAGAGGCAGAUCAACAAGGACAACGAGCUCUGGGAGAGGAACAGAAUGUUGACGUCAGGAGUGGUCAGUUCCCUCGACCACGACAACGAUCCCGAUGACGAGGGCGAAGCGAGGGUACAUUUACUGGUCCACAACGUGGUGCCCCCCUUCCUCGACGGCAGAAUUGUCUUCACCAAGCAACCGGAGCCAGUGGUGCCUGUUCGUGAUCCAACGUCUGAUAUGGCAUUGGUCGCGAGAAAGGGAUCGGCUCUUGUCCGGGCGUACAGAGAGCAAAAGGAGCGGAAACGAGCGCAGAAAAAACACUGGGAUCUGUCUGGAACGCACCUGGGGAACAUCAUGGGGGUGAAGGACAAGAGGAAGGAGGAGAGGGAAGCUGCCCCAGAGGAGACGGACUUCAAGGCCGGACAGAAGUACGCGAGGCACAUGGGCUCGUCCGACAACACCGACAGUCGUCAUCGACAGAUUCUCGCCCAACGACGGAGUCUUCCGGUCUUUGCUGUUCGCCAGGAGCUCAUGACCAUCAUCAGGGAGAAUUCGGUGGUGGUGAUUGUCGGGGAGACGGGAAGUGGAAAGACUACACAGCUGACCCAGUAUCUUCAUGAGGAUGGGUACAGCAAAAAUGGAAUGAUAGGGUGCACUCAGCCGAGGAGGGUCGCAGCAAUGUCAGUGGCGAAGAGAGUCUCCGACGAGAUGGCUUCUGCCCUCGGGGAAAAGGUCGGAUACGCCAUUCGGUUCGAGGACUGCACGUCCAAGGAGACCGUCAUCAAGUACAUGACGGAUGGUAUACUCCUGAGGGAGAGCCUGAGGGAGGGUGAUCUGGACAGAUACAGCGUCAUUAUCAUGGACGAGGCGCACGAGAGAUCACUGUCGACGGAUGUUCUGUUUGGAUUGCUGAGGGAGGUCGUUGCUCGUCGCCACGAUCUCAAGCUCAUCGUCACAUCCGCGACGAUGGACUCCAGCAAGUUCAGCGCUUUCUUCGGGAAUGCUGCGACCUUCCAGAUACCUGGGAGGACGUUCCCCGUGGAGAGGAUACACGCGAAGAAUCCGGUGGAGGAUUAUGUUGACGCUGCGGUGAAACAGGUGCUCCAAAUUCACCUUCAACCCAAGUCCGGUGACAUCCUGGUGUUCAUGCCGGGUCAGGAGGACAUCGAGGUGACCUGCGAGGCCCUGAACGAGAGACUCAGUGAGAUCGACUCCGCCCCAGACCUCCUCAUCCUCCCAAUUUACUCACAACUCCCCUCAGACCUACAAGCGAAGAUCUUCCAAAAGUCAGAGGGAGGUCUGAGGAAGUGCGUCGUUGCUACCAACAUCGCCGAGACAUCUCUCACCGUCGAUGGAAUAGUCUUUGUCGUGGACUCCGGUUACUGCAAGCUCAAGGUCUACAAUCCCAGGAUCGGUAUGGACGCCCUGCAGGUGUAUCCCGUGUCAAGGGCCAACGCUGACCAGAGGAGUGGAAGAGCUGGAAGAACAGGGCCUGGUGUUUGCUUCAGACUAUACACCAGGAGGCAGUACCUCGACGAAUUGCUGUUGACUGGUGUCCCUGAGAUUCAGAGGACCAACCUGGCGAAUACUGUUCUACUGCUGAAGUCCCUGGGGGUGCAGGACCUUCUGGCCUUUCAUUUUAUGGACCCGCCACCCCAGGACAACAUCCUGAACUCUCUGUAUCAACUCUGGAUCCUGGGGGCUCUGGACAACACUGGUAGGCUGACUCCCUUGGGGAGACAAAUGGCGGAGUUUCCACUGGAUCCACCCCAGUGUCAGAUGCUGAUCGUCGCGUCUCAGCUCGGCUGCACAGCUGAAAUCCUCAUCAUCGUCUCCAUGUUAUCAGUGCCCUCCAUAUUCUACAGGCCCAAAGGACGCGAGGAGGAUUCUGAUUCCGCGAGGGAGAAGUUCCAGGUGCCAGAGUCUGAUCAUCUGACGUUCCUUCACGUCUACCAGCAGUGGAAGAUCAAUGGAUACUCCAGCACCUGGUGCAACGAUCACUUCAUUCAUGCCAAAGCCAUGAGAAAGGUCAGGGAGGUGAGGCAGCAGCUGGAGGAGAUUCUCAAGCAGCAGAAGCUCGAGUUGACGAGCUGUGGGAAUGACUGGGACAAUGUCAGGAAGUGCAUAUGCUCAGCUUAUUUUCAUCAAGCUGCUAGACUCAAGGGAAUUGGUGAAUAUGUCAACUGCAGAACCGGAAUGCCAUGUUAUCUUCAUCCAACGUCUGCACUUUUUGGAAUGGGCUUCACACCGGAUUAUGUCGUUUAUCAUGAACUCGUGAUGACGGCGAAGGAGUACAUGCAGUGUGUCACUGCUGUUGAUGGACAGUGGCUAGCAGAACUGGGGCCCAUGUUCUUCAGUGUCAAGGAGACUGGCAGUGGACAGGCUAAGAGGAGACAGGCGGUUCAACAUCUCCAGGAGAUGGAGGGACAGAUGAAGGCGGCUGAGGAGGAGAUGAAGGCCAGGGCGAAGGAACAACUGGAGAAGGAACAAGCUUCUGUCAGGAAGAAAGAAAUAUUGACUCCGGGAAUCAGAGAACCAGGUACACCAGCACCUUAUAGGAAGACGCCAGCUCGACUGGGAUUUAGGACAAGUCUUGGAGAGUUUUGGAAUGACAUUUCUACGGUUUCCUGAGCUUCCGAGACUCCUACAGCAAAAAGGACCCGGAUUUGGGAUCAACCCUUUUUUCGUCCAUAUCUUUGGAAAUAUCAUAGCUAGGGCAAUUUGGCUGGCGCCAUUGGAUUCGUGAGACGAUUUCCGUUUUUUCUAGGGCUCCGGGAAUUUUCUAAAAUCGUUUUUCUCGGCUCCUGGGCCUCCUGCAGGAAAAGCCUCCAGCCCAGUUUGCUACGUUCUCCGUGACUUACAGCUUUGUGGCAGCUCGAUCGUCGGUAACUCCAACGAUCUGUUAAUAGUUUUCUCCCUCCUUUUGUUACGCUCCAAUGGAUUGUUUUUUUAAACCAAUUUCAACAUCCCACUACGUGUUCCCGGGACAUGCAGGUCAACUUGAAAUUCUUUAAUUGUAAAUGACAAAGGAAAAUGGAUUUCCGAUGAGAGACGAGUGCUGGUGGUUACGUAAUUGGACAGUGGGAGAUGUUAUUUUAAUUGUUCCUGUCAUUGAUCUAUUGAUGAUCCCGGAAUGA